GAGAGACCAUCAACACCGUGCAGGCCGGUCUGUGCUUCACAGGGCUGGCUCCUGCCUUCCUCCUUUGUGAACUCAGGGAUUCAUGGAGCUAAGCCAUCAACACCUGGCUGAGAAGUAGGGCCUCUCCACCUUCCUCCCACUCUGCUCACAAAUGGCCCUGAGGAGUGUCAGAGAUCAAAGGGGCCAGCGCCCUGGCCUUCUGCUGCUCAGCCCCAUAACUGCCCUCAGAGGACGGGAAUUCACACCUGCUGGUGGUGGAGGGGGCCCAAGGUGUGGAGGACUGUGUUGGCUGCGGCAUCAUCUGCAAAGUUCCUUGGCUUGAGGCCUCUGAUCCUGCUUUCCACAAGCUGACUGGGUGUCACCAAGGCCCCAGAAGGGCCCGGAGCUCCCCCUUCUCUCACCCACUCCCCGAUUAUGUGCUCCCAGCACAGCUCUGCAGCCAGAGGGUGAGGCUGCAAGCGAGAUUCCGAGGCUGACUGAUAGGCCUUCACCAGGCGGAGCCAUCUUGAAGGAGAAAGAGGGAGACGGGGACGCUGUUGUGAAUGGGUGGAUACGUCAAGAUGUGAGAAACUGAAGCUAGUAGCUGGAGUGGAUCCACAGGGAUUUCUAUAGGCAGCCGAGUUUCCUGAACUUUUCCCGUGAAACUGACUUUGCUUUAACGAGAGCAACUGCACUGGCCAUUCCCACAGGUAUCUCUAGCCCCUCGUCUACGUGAAAUGAGUGCAUUCACUCAGAUAAAUCUCUAAAAUGGUGGCUGGAGGCUGUUAUUAGGAGGCUAGUAAAGAUUUUAUGCUUGAUAUAAUAUUGCCUGUGACUUAGCCACUGUUGUAGAACAAUAUUUUGCCUGAAACUCUUCAAAUGAUGUUUUGGUAGCUGUUUCUGCUCAUUUUGGUUAAUGUUUUUGCAGCAAUAAGUCUGAGCAGCUGGAUCUUUUGUUCCUCACACAGCAUAUUCCAGGUGGGCUGCCUGAAUCCUGCAUCCUAAACCCUAUAAAAUACCAUUUCAGGAACAACUGGGUUUUUGUCUACAAGAAAUUAUCCCUAUAAUAGCUUGUAUAUGCCGUGAAGUAAUGAGAUGGUUGUUAAUAGAAAAAUAUUUCCUAGAAUAGACCAUUUUUAUUCAAACAUCUGCCAACAUGAAAACUAUGUACACAGCAUUGCAAUGGAGUCAUCGCUUUCCUAACAGUUUUCCUACAGCCUGAUACCCACACCAUGUACAACCUGACUGAUACACCAUUUACAGCCUGACUGACUGACGCCCACACCAUUUACAGCCUGACUGACUGACACCUACACCAUUUACAGCCUGACUGACUGACACCCACACCGUUUACAGCCUGACUGACUGACACCCACACCAUUUACAGGCUGACUGACUGACACCCACACCAUUUACAGCCUGACUGACUGACACCCACACCAUUUACAGCCUGACUGACACACACACCGUUUACAGACUGACUGACUGACACACACACCAUUUAUAGACUGACUGACACCCACACCAUUUACAGCCUGACUGACUGACACCCACACCAUUUACAGCCUGACUGACUGACACCCACACCAUUUACAGCCUGACUGACUGACACCCACACCAUUUACAGCCUGACUGACACCCACACCAUUUACAGCCUGACUGACUGACACCCACACCGUUUACAGCCUGACUGACUGACACCCACACCAUUUACAGCCUGACUGACUGACACCCACACCGUUUACAGCCUGACUGACUGACACCCACACCAUUUACAGGCUGACUGACACCCACACCAUUUACAGCCUGACUGACACCCACACCCUUUACAGCCUGACUGACUGACACCCACACCAUUUACAGCCUGACUGACUGACACCCACACCAUUUAUAGCCUGACUGACACCCACACCAUUUACAGCCUGACUGACACCCACACCGUUUACAGCCUGACUGACACCCACACCAUUUACAGCCUGACUGACUGACACCCACACCGUUUACAGCCUGACUGACUGACACCCACACCAUUUAUAGCCUGACUGACACCCACACCAUUUACAGCCUGACUGACACCCACACCAUUUACAGCCUGACUGACUGACACCCACACCAUUUACAGCCUGACUGACUGACACCCACACCAUUUAUAGCCUGACUGACACCCACACCAUUUACAGCCUGACUGACUGACACCCACACCAUUUACAGCCUGACUGACUGACACCCACACCAUUUACAGCCUGACUGACACCCACACCAUUUAUAGCCUGACUGACACCCACACCAUUUACAGCCUGACUGACUGACACCCACACCAUUUACAGCCUGACUGACACCCACACCAUUUACAGCCUGACUGACACCCACACCGUUUACAGCCUGACUGACUGACACCCACACCAUUUAUAGCCUGACUGACACCCACACCAUUUACAGCCUGACUGACUGACACCCACACCGUUUACAGCCUGACUGACUGACACCCACACCAUUUACAGCCUGACUGACUGACACCCACACCGUUUACAGCCUGACUGACUGACACCCACACCAUUUACAGGCUGACUGACACCCACACCAUUUACAGCCUGACUGACACCCACACCCUUUACAGCCUGACUGACUGACACCCACACCAUUUACAGCCUGACUGACUGACACCCACACCCUUUACAGCCUGACUGACUGACACCCACACCAUUUACAGGCUGACUGACACCCACACCAUUUACAGCCUGACUGACUGACACCCACACCAUUUACAGCCUGACUGACACCCACACCAUUUACAGCCUGACUGACUGACACCCACACCCUUUACAGCCUGACUGACUGACACCCCCACCAUUUACAGCCUGACUGACUGACACCCACACCCUUUACAGCCUGACUGACUGACACCCACACCAUUUACAGCCUGACUGACACCCACACCAUUUACAGCCUGACUGACUGACACCCACACCAUUUACAGCCUGACUGACACCCACACCAUUUACAGCCUGACUGACUGACACACACACCAUUUACAGCCUGACUGACUGACACCCACACCAUUUACAGCCUGACUGACUGACACCCACACCAUUUACCCCUUCGUGUUGGCACAUCGAAGAGCAGCAUCUUAGUGGUCUGAGUCACAGUGACAAAACUUUCAGGUAGGUCCACCCUUUAGCUGUAGAUGGAGCAGGUGCCCCCUGCAGAAGAAUCUGCCUACAUCCCACGCCAGAACUGGGCCUCGCUCCACAGACAGGGAGGAGGAGAAAGUGCAGCCAGUUUCCAAAACAGGCAUAAUUUAGAUGUGCCCAGGCUCUGAUCCAGAUGCACCCUGUGCUGAGACUGCAGAAGCUGCUGUCAUCGACCCCUCAGCACCCUACUGUGAGCUUUGCUCCGUAACCACUCCUGUGACAAGCAAACGAAUUAAAUAGCGUGAAGGAUGGCCACCCUGGACUCUGUCCACAGAGGUGCCAGCUGAGAGUGUGCUCUGACCGUGGCACACCGGUCCCUCCGGGCACUAAAAUGAGACCCUGUUCAUUUCGUGUCUCCCACCAAGCAGCUGUCAGGCGACAGUGGCUUUUGGUCCCCGUGUCCUGUGAGACAGUUUCAAACAGGUGGUCUAUACAGGUUUUAAAAAUUCCCUAUCCCAUUACUGGUUCCCAAAGCUAUCCAAUUCCCCCUCCUUCUUCUGGGGAGAAUGUUGUUAUGAACAGAAACCCUGAAUCGGAGGUUGCUUCUUCUUUCCUUUCUCCCACAUUAUUCCUCAGCCUCCUCAGAAGACCCACGACCAAACACAGGAGGAGUCUUCCCUUUGGGGCCGAGUUGCUUCAGAAAGGCUCAGAGUGGCUGACAAGCUUCUCUGGGUACAGAUGGGUGCACAACCAUCUCAGCAAAUGCCAAUGCUUUUCAGCAAAUAAAGCCCAAGGGGUGACUGGCGAUGGCUUUGGGGCUGCAGUAUGUCUAUGCUGGAUGACUGUUUGGGGGACGCAGCCCUUCCCUCUAUUCAAAGUGCUAUGUAGCUUAUAUUUAUUUAAAUGAGUUAAAACUUAUCUUCUUUGGAGACUUUUUUUUUUUUUUUUUUGAGACGGAGUCUCGCUCUGUCGCCCAGGCCGGACUGCGGACUGCAGUGGCGCAAUCUCGGCUCACUGCAAGCUCCGCUUCCCGGGUUCACGCCAUUCUCCUGCCUCAGCUUCCCGAGUAGCUGGGACUACAGGCGCCCGCCACCGCGCCUGGCUAAUUUUUUGUAUUUUUAGUAGAGACAGGGUUUCACCUUGUUAGCCAGGAUGUUCUCGAUCUCCUGACCUCAUGAUCCACCUGCCUCGGCCUCCCAAAGUGCUGGGAUUACAGGCGUGAGCCACCGUGCCCGGCCGAGACAUUUUAACAUAGACAAGACCAUCAGACUCAGAGGAGAACCUGCAGACCAUCUGGUCCAGUGUUCUAGCCAGGGGGCCACAGAAUCUCCCGUGUGCUCUGAGACCGCUGACGUGCUAUGGCCUCAGGGGGCCACGGAAUCUCCCGUGUGCUCUGAGACCACUGACGUGCUCUGGCCUCAGGGGGCCACGGAAUCUCCCGUGUGCUCUGAGACCACUGACGUGCUCUGGCCUCAGGGGGCCCACGGAAUCUCCCGUGUGCUCUGAGACCACUGACGUGCUAUGGCCUCAGGGUGCCACGGAAUCUCCCGUGUGCUCUGAGACCACUGACGUGCUACGGCCUCAGGGGGCCCGGAAUCUCCCAUGUGCUCUGAGACCACUGAUGUGCUAUGGCCUCAGGGUGCCACGGAAUCUCCCGUGUGCUCUGAGACCACUGACGUGCUAUGGCCUCGGGGGCCCACAGAAUCUCCCGUGUGCUCUGAGACCACUGACGUGCAUGGCCUCACGGUGACACGGAAUCUCCCGUGUGCUCUGAGACCACUGACGUGCUAUGGCCUCAGGGGGCCAUGGAAUCUCCCGUGUGCUCUGAGACCACUGACGUGCUACGGCCUCAGGGGGCCCGGAAUCUCCCAUGUGCUCUGAGACCACUGAUGUGCUAUGGCCUCAGGGUGCCACGGAAUCUCCUGUGUGCUCUGAGACCACUGACGUGCUAUGGCCUCGGGGGCCCACAGAAUCUCCCGUGUGCUCUGAGACCACUGACGUGCAUGGCCUCACGGUGACACGGAAUCUCCCGUGUGCUCUGAGACCACUGACGUGCUAUGGCCUCAGGGGGCCAUGGAAUCUCCCGUGUGCUCUGAGACCACUGACGUGCUACGGCCUCAGGGGGCCCGGAAUCUCCCAUGUGCUCUGAGACCACUGACGUGCUAUGGCCUCAGGGUGCCACGGAAUCUCCCGUGUGCUCUGAGACCACUGACGUGCUACAGCCUCAGGGGGCCCAGAAUCUCCCAUGUGCUCUGAGACCACUGACGUGCUAUGGCCUCAGGGUGCCACGGAAUCUCCCGUGUGCUCUGAGACCACUGACGUGCUAUGGCCUCGGGGGCCCACAGAAUCUCCCGUGUGCUCUGAGACCACUGACGUGCUAUGGCCUAAGGGUGCCACGGAAUCUCCCGUGUGCUCUGAGACCACUGACGUGCUAUGGCCUCAGGCAUGGUUCUGGCUCGGUCAGCCUGGGGGCUCUGGUAAUGUACACUCUAAAAAGGCAUCAGGAUUGAUUCUAAUCUGUGGCCAUGUUGAGAACUGUUGUAUAGAUAAAAAAGCAGAAGCCAAGGUAUUUGUUUAAACAUGUUUUGUGACAUAUUUGGGGGAUGUAACCCUUGGAAAAUGGCAGUCACCCUGGGAUUCCUGGACUGGUAGCUGUGGGAACUCCCACGUGCCAAAAGUGCAGCCCCAGACUCUCCAGGUAAAAUCAAGGUUCUGCUGACUGUUCCCCAGGUAACAUGCAAUGCACUUUGUUUCCUGACUGACUGUGGGUGUUAGUUCACUGCAAUAUAACAAGCACAUAUUAAGAAUGUUUAUGCCAGGCCCUCUGGGAAAUACCAUAUUUAUGUGCACGUAUGUACAAAUCCUCGUGCCUGCGUUCAGGAAGGAGAGGGGAGAGGGGUCUCCCCAGGCAGGCAGCCAGAGGACAAUGCGGCACAGGACGGUGCACCAGCUUCUGUGCUCUAAGCAGGGGAUUCUCUCUCUCUCUGCACUGGAAGAUAAGAUAAACGCAUUGCUUUUAAAAUGAGCCACCCUCACGUCCUCUUCAUGCCUCCGUGGUGUAAGCACUUCUAACCAGCUGUGCUUUUCUCAAGCCAAGAACUGAGACGCAGUUUCAGGACCAGACCUUUUCACUGGGGCCUAGAAUGUCAGCUCCCACAGCCACUUAAGGAAACAGAAGUAUGUGCAACAAUUUUACUCUGAAGGUAAAUGAAAUUCGUGACAAGCAGGGGCACAUGGAAAGUUCUAUGAGGAUUAGUUCAAUCCCAUUGGAGAAUCCAGAAAGAUUUCAUGGAUGAGGGAGGAUUUGUACUGGAUUUUGUUUGAGAAAAAAAGACUGCCUAGCCAAGUUACAUAGAAGGUACUUGGUAAAUGCUAAAUGGAAUAUCAAUAAACAAGUAAGUACUGAACCAGAUCGUGGCUUUGAUGUGUAAGCUCAAGAUAGAGUCAACAGUACAUGUGCAUGAGUGUGCAUGCCCGUGUGCACGUGUAAAUGAGAGCAUGAUCUGAACACAUGUGUGCUGGAGGGUGUGCACGUAUGCGUGCAUGUGUGUGUGCAGAUGAGUGUGCCCGUGUACAAAUAUGUGUGCAUGCCUGUGUGUGUGCAUGUUCUUCUGCACAGGUGACCUGCCCUCCCUCCUUUGUUGCUGCCCAUAGUUCCAGGGAGUUUCUGCCUCAAUCCCUCUCUCAGUAUGGUAAGCGGAACCCUGCCUUCUUCUUGGUAGCCCACUAUGCCAGAUUUAACUGUUUUAUGAUUAAAUAUCCUCCAUGCAACAUUAGGAAAGUCAGGAGUCCUAAAUAAGUCACGUGGUUUGGCACUUUAACAGCUGUGAUCUCAUAUGCGCUUCACAGUAACCCUAUGCAAUGGAGAUCAGUCAAUUAACAAUUGAGUUCAGCUGCCUGUCACUGAAAAGCUAAGGAACUGGAUGAAACCAGAUGUCAGGGUUUGCGUUCUCUCACAGAACGUGAAGUCCAAAGGAAGGCAUUUUGGAGCUGGUCACCAGGGAGCCAGCUGGGGUCCACCUUGUUUAGGGUCUAGAUGGGUGGUGUGCUGGCACAUCGUAGUGAAAAAUAGUGCUGCUUUCAUUUUACAGAUGAAAAACUCAGGCUUCCAGAGGCCAGGUUAUUUUGCCCCAAAUCACACAGUGAAGAAGAGCUGGGUCUGGAAUUCUAAGCCAGACUCUACACUCAAAUCUGUUUGACCCAAAGUCUGUGCACUUUCACAGACCAUAGGUAGACAAGCGUGUGUACUCACGUGGAGGAGGUGGGCUCAGAAGAAUCGAUGGCCACGGAGACCAUGUUCAUGCGUGGGCCAGGAGGAAUCUGGAGAGGCUGGAGCCUUAGACUCACUUUUAGUCUCGCUGUUUGACUGGAAUAAGCUGUCCUGUUCCUAAUCUCUGCAAGCAGACUGUUCUGGUGUCCCCAAGAUCACUCCCUUUGCUGUUUCAAGACAGGCAAGGGCUGGGUCUAGGGGUCCUGGCAGGUAGGGCUUUUCCGGUCUCCUGAGGUGCCACCAGCUACUGUCUGCUGAGGCUGCUCAGAUAUUUUCAUUCUAAUCCUUGAUAGCAGGCAUAGCUCUGCCGUUUAUAACCAUCCCAUCCACCUGACAUAGGUUCUUGCCGGGGGCGUUUGAAUUGGUGCCUCUCGGUCUGAUCCAACAGCCCACUGCGAUGCCCUGGCCAAGUGGCAGCCCUGAAAUGGUCCCAUUGAUAGGAAGGGUCCAGUACCGUCUGUGAUGCUGUGAAAAGCAUAGUGUUUCUCCUCGUUUCCCAGCAUUCCUGGAAAUAUAUGAAAUACAGGGCACUUUAUCUUGCCACAAAGUUAUUUUAAGAAGGAAAAUCAAUUUUAUUUUAUUUUAUUUUGUUUUUUGAGAUGGAGUCUGGCACUGUCACCCAGGCUGGAGUGCAGUGGCGUGAUCUUGGCUCACUGCAACCUCCGCCUCCCGGGUUCAAGCGAUUCUCCUGCCUCAGCCUCCUGAGUAGCUGAGAUUACAGGUACCAACGACCACGCCCAGCUAAUUGUUUUGUAUUUUUAGUAGAGAUGAGGUUUCUCUAUGUUGGCCAGGCUGGUCUCGUACUCCUAACCUCGUGAUCCACCCACCUUGGCCUCCCAAAGUCCUAGGAUUACAGGCUUGAGCCACCACACCCGGCCAAAAUCAAUUUUAAAAAUCCUACAAAACACACACUGUAAAUGCCGAGAUGUAUCUGUAUGUAGACCCUGAAGGUUGCACUGCGACCACUUCUGCAAAGCUGCUCACUCCACCUGCCUGCCUCACCUACUUCCUGCAGGGCUGUGCCUGCUCCUCAAUUCACAUGUCCAGUUUUUCUGGGACUCUAUUGAAUGCCCUAAUUCCCAUCCUUUCCUAGAGCCCUGUCUUUCUAAGCUAUAUGGCUCCUUCUUUUUCAGGCCUUGGAGAAGGUUGAACAGAUGUCACUGAAGUCACAUCCCUCCUUCCUUCACUGACAGUUCCCUCCGUGGCUGACACUUAGUGCUGGGUGUCUCCUCCCACUGCCAGGAGGUACAAGCUGCCUGCAGGCUUCCACCAGAGGCAGCUGCUGACAGACAGAUGCUCACACUGCCAAGGGCAGAGAUGCUGCUCCUCUGCCAGCUGCCCCAUCUUGUCUCUCUGCCUGCCCAGGCUCUGGUGCUCACAGUUGAACUUGACAGGUUCUUUUCCAGGCUCCUCAUAAGACUUUUUCCAUCCAAUAUUCAGGCCCCCUUUCCUCCAGGAGCAACCACAGGACCCGGCCACGAGCUCAGCUCUGUUUCUGCACCUGGCAGAAUGCCUGACGUACAGCAGUUGCUUGGGAAACAAAGUUUAGCUGGUGAGUGAACAAAAAGGUGCUGCAAGGCAGUGACCCUCCUGGAUCUCUACACAGCUGCCUGAAACAAAACCCUGCAUGCACCCUGCAAGAGAAUUCUGAAAACCUGGAGCCCACCACACACACACAGAAAUAAAACUCCUCUGCUUGUGCCCCUAAGAGAAUUCUUAAAACUAGGAAGCACCCCCAUUUUGAAAUAAAACUCUGCUUCACUCCCUAAGAGAAUUCUUAUAACUGGGAACCUAGGAACCCCCUCCUAGGUGGGUUCCUAGCGUAGCAUGUGGCUGAAUUCUACACUGUAAAUGUGCUGAGUGCGGCCGAAUUCUACACUGUAAAUGUGCUGAGUGCGGCCGAAUUCUACACUGUAAAUGUGCUGAGUGUGGCCGAAUUCUACACUAUAAAUGUGUUACAUGUGUCUGAAUUUUAUCCUUUGAAAUGGUUAAUGUUAUGUUUCUUUAAUUUCACCUCAAUAAAAAAUUCAUUUAAAAAAAUAUAUUGUGACCGUAAGCCACUAAUUUUGUGUUUUUUAAAUUUUUGCCAUGGAUCCCUUUGGUGAUCUGGUGAAACCCAUAGACCUCUUCUCAGAAUAAUGUCCUUAAAUGCAGAAAGUAAAAUACACAAGAUCAAAAAGGAAAACAAGUGUACCAAAAUACACCCAUCAAAUGAGCUUAAUCAUGGUACAGUCACACAUGUGCCUCUUUAACACAUCGUGCUGGUAUGAUAGAUACCGGUUUUCGUACAAGGCUCCUGGCUCAUAACUCCCACGCCUCUUGUUACAGUCUUUUGUUAUAACCUUGGCUGUGUUAGGUCUCAGGGGCAGCCUCUGACCUCUUGC
This 9764-nucleotide long non-coding RNA is filed under the name Homo sapiens (human). RNAcentral describes it as "non-protein coding lnc-FAM120B-10:2". Lineage: Eukaryota; Metazoa; Chordata; Mammalia; Primates; Hominidae. The record is from RNAcentral.